UACGAAGGGUGCAAGCGUUAUUCGGAAUGAUUGGGCGUAAAGGGUGCGCAGACGGUAUAUUAAGUCAACUGUUAAAUUUCCCAGCCUAACUGGGAGCAAGCAGUAGAAACUAAUGUGCUCGAGGGUGGAAGAGAGAAGUGGAAUUCUCGGAGUAGCGGUAAAAUGCGUAGAUCUCGAGAGGAACACCAAUGGCGAAGGCAGCUUCUUGGUCCAUUUCUGACGUUCAAGCACGAAAGCGUGGGGAGCAAACAGG
Molecule: ribosomal RNA, 253 nt
Filed under: uncultured bacterium
Lineage: Bacteria
Description: partial 16S ribosomal RNA
Rfam family: Bacterial small subunit ribosomal RNA
Source: RNAcentral